This 253-nucleotide ribosomal RNA is filed under the name uncultured bacterium. RNAcentral describes it as "partial 16S ribosomal RNA". It matches the Rfam family "Bacterial small subunit ribosomal RNA", at positions 524 to 776 of the family's 1533-position model. The record is from RNAcentral.
UACGGGGGGGGCAAGCGUUGUUCGGAAUUACUGGGCGUAAAGGGCGCGUAGGCGGCCAUUCAAGUGACGGGUGAAAGCCCUCGGCUUAACCGAGGAACUGCCUGUCAGACUGGAUGGCUUGAGACCGGGAGAGGUGAGUGGAAUUCCCGGUGUAGUGGUGAAAUGCGUAGAUAUCGGGAGGAACACCAGUGGCGAAGGCGACUACCUGGCCCAUUCUUGACGCUGAGGCGCGAAAGCUAGGGGAGCGAACGGG